AGUGAACGCUGGCGGUAGGCCUAACACAUGCAAGUCGAACGGCAGCACAGUAAGAGCUUGCUCUUACGGGUGGCGAGUGGCGGACGGGUGAGGAAUACAUCGGGAUCUACUUUUUCGUAGGGGACAGCGUAGGGAAACUUACGCUAAUACCGCAUACGACCUACGGGUGAAAGCAGGGGAUCUUCGGACCUUGCGCGAUUGAAUGAGCCGAUGUCGGAUUAGCUAGUUGGCGGGGUAAAGGCCCACCAAGGCGACGAUCCGUAGCUGGUCUGAGAGGAUGAUCAGCCACACUGGAACUGAGACACGGUCCAGACUCCUACGGGAGGCAGCAGUGGGGAAUAUUGGACAAUGGGCGCAAGCCUGAUCCAGCCAUACCGCGUGGGUGAAGAAGGCCUUCGGGUUGUAAAGCCCUUUUGUUGGGAAAGAAAAGCAGCAGGUUAAUACCCCGCUGUUCUGACGGUACCCAAAGAAUAAGCACCGGCUAACUUCGUG
RNAcentral lists this ribosomal RNA (492 nucleotides) under uncultured bacterium. RNAcentral describes it as "partial 16S ribosomal RNA". It matches the Rfam family "Bacterial small subunit ribosomal RNA", at positions 29 to 507 of the family's 1533-position model. The record is from RNAcentral.